RNAcentral lists this ribosomal RNA (434 nucleotides) under uncultured Anaerostipes sp. Its description in RNAcentral is "partial 16S ribosomal RNA". It matches the Rfam family "Bacterial small subunit ribosomal RNA", at positions 341 to 792 of the family's 1533-position model. The record is from RNAcentral. Lineage: Bacteria; Bacillati; Bacillota; Clostridia; Lachnospirales; Lachnospiraceae.
ACGGGAGGCAGCAGUGGGGAAUAUUGCACAAUGGGGGAAACCCUGAUGCAGCGACGCCGCGUGAGUGAAGAAGUAUUUCGGUAUGUAAAGCUCUAUCAGCAGGGAAGAAAAUGACGGUACCUGACUAAGAAGCCCCGGCUAACUACGUGCCAGCAGCCGCGGUAAUACGUAGGGGGCAAGCGUUAUCCGGAUUUACUGGGUGUAAAGGGUGCGUAGGCGGCAUAGCAAGUCAGUCGUUAAAGACCAGAGCUUAACUCUGGGCCAGCGGUUGAAACUGCUAAGCUAGAGUACAGGAGAGGUAAGCGGAAUUACUAGUGUAGAGGUGAAAUUCGUAGAUAUUAGUAAGAACACCGAUGGCGAAGGCAGCUUACUGGCCUGAAACAGACGCUGAGGCACGAAAGUGUGGGGAGCAAACAGGAUUAGAUACCCUGGUA